This 439-nucleotide ribosomal RNA is filed under the name uncultured bacterium. RNAcentral's name for it is "partial 16S ribosomal RNA". It matches the Rfam family "Bacterial small subunit ribosomal RNA", at positions 339 to 795 of the family's 1533-position model. The record is from RNAcentral.
CUACGGGGCGCUCCAGUGGGGAAUAUUGCACAAUGGGGGGAACCCUGAUGCAGCAACGCCGCGUGGAGGAUGACACAUUUCGGUGCGUAAACUCCUUUUAUAUAAGAAGAUAAUGACGGUAUUAUAUGAAUAAGCACCAGCUAACUCCGUGCCAGCAGCCGCGGUAAUACGGGGGGUGCAAGCGUUACUCGGAAUCACUGGGCGUAAAGAGCAUGUAGGCUGGUUUGUAAGUUGGAAGUGAAAUCCUAUGGCUUAACCAUAGAACUGCUUCCAAAACUACUUACCUAGAGUAUGGGAGAGGUAGAUGGAAUUUCUGGUGUAGGGGUAAAAUCCGUAGAGAUCAGAAGGAAUACCGAUUGCGAAGGCGAUCUACUGGAACAUUACUGACGCUCAGAUGCGAAAGCGUGGGGAGCAAACAGGAUUAGAUACCCGUGUAGUC